RNAcentral lists this transfer RNA (69 nucleotides) under Sosibia ovata. Its description in RNAcentral is "tRNA-Ile". The record is from RNAcentral. Lineage: Eukaryota; Metazoa; Arthropoda; Insecta; Phasmatodea; Lonchodidae.
UAAUGGAAUGCUUGAUUAAAAGAUUAUUUUGAUGUAAUAAAAAAUGUAAUAUUAAUAUUACUUCCAUUA